Molecule: non-coding RNA, 83 nt
Filed under: Trichococcus flocculiformis
Lineage: Bacteria; Bacillati; Bacillota; Bacilli; Lactobacillales; Carnobacteriaceae
Source: RNAcentral
UAUGGACAUGAGGAAUCAUGGAGUAAAGCUUGUCAUAAGAAGUCAGCAGAAGCCAUAGUAGUGACCAUAGGGUCACGAAGGGC